Electrophorus electricus (electric eel) is the source of this 856-nucleotide non-coding RNA. Lineage: Eukaryota; Metazoa; Chordata; Actinopteri; Gymnotiformes; Gymnotidae. The record is from RefSeq and is a predicted model, not a curated record.
CACACACACACACACACACACACACACACACACACACACACAGACAUACACACACUGUUCUCACAUUCUCACAUUCCUUAGAAAUAUGUUCUGCAUGUACUGCAUUUAUCAAUUAUCGUGUUGAAUUCUUCAAGUAUUGUAUCAUUACAUUAUUGUACUGGCUGCUACCUCAGUGACUGCUGUGUUCAUAUAUGCUAUAAGCGUAGCUGCUAAAUACUAGAAUAUGACUGUAUAGCCAUACUUCUGUAUAGCUGGUCUAACAAAGUCUCAACUUGAUUCAAAACACUUAUUUUAAUGCCAGUAGUGGUGGUCUUGUGUGUGUGUGUGUGUGUGUGUGUGUGUGUGUGUGUGUGUGUGUGUGUGUGUGUGUAGACCAGCUGAUUAAACUGACUCUGCUGGUUCUUGGUUCCCAGCAGUCUGGUCUCUUUUACGCUGUCUGUAUUGAGUGUGUUUGUCUCCUUUAAGGAGUUUGUGUUUUGCCUCCUUUUCUAUGUAACCUGUGUUUUAAUCUUUAUAUCUUUUGUGUGUAGUUUAUGUUUGCUGUGGUUAUAAUCUUUUUGGUGUUUAACUACUGUGGAUUUCUCCUACUGAAGGUUUUUGUUGUUUGUUUAUGUUUAUUUACGUUGCUUGUUACCUUUGGAAUCACUGACUGUAUUUCCAGUGUGUUACAGCAAGGUUUUGACCACUAGCUGCAUCAAUCCUUGUACAUGUUGUAUAACUUCAGGUGAGGUCUGAUCCACACUGUGAUCAAUUCAUCCAUUUCUGUGAUUACCAUCAUGUGGUUCUCUCAUUACUCAGCACAGACAUCUGCUGGAUGAUGUAUUCAGCUACACUUCAACGAACCUGAGUGUGGAAG